RNAcentral lists this ribosomal RNA (468 nucleotides) under uncultured bacterium. RNAcentral's name for it is "partial 16S ribosomal RNA". It matches the Rfam family "Bacterial small subunit ribosomal RNA", at positions 28 to 507 of the family's 1533-position model. The record is from RNAcentral.
GACGAACGCUGGCGGCGUGCUUAACACAUGCAAGUCGAACGGAAAGGCCCUGCUUUUGUGGGGUGCUCGAGUGGCGAACGGGUGAGUAACACGUGAGUAACCUGCCCUUGACUUUGGGAUAACUUCAGGAAACUGGGGCUAAUACCGGAUAGGAGCUCCUGCUGCAUGGUGGGGGUUGGAAAGUUUCGGCGGUUGGGGAUGGACUCGCGGCUUAUCAGCUUGUUGGUGGGGUAGUGGCUUACCAAGGCUUUGACGGGUAGCCGGCCUGAGAGGGUGACCGGCCACAUUGGGACUGAGAGACGGCCCAGACUCCUACGGGAGGCAGCAGUGGGGAAUAUUGCACAAUGGGCGGAAGCCUGAUGCAGCAACGCCGCGUUCGGGAUGACGGCCUUCGGGUUGUAAACCGCUUUCGCCUGUGACGAAGCGUGAGUGACGGUAAUGGGUAAAGAAGCACCGGCUAACUACGUG